GUUGCCAUCAGGUUAAGCUGGGGACUCUAAAGGAACUGCCUACGCAAGUAGUGAGGAAGGCGGGGAGUGACGUCAAAUCAGCACGGCCCUUACGUCCAGGGCUACACACGUGCUACAAUGGCCGAUACAGAGGGCAGCUACCUGGUGACAGGAUGCAAAUCUCCAAAGUCGGUCUCAGUUCGGAUCGGAGUCUGCAACCCGACUCCGUGAAGUUGGAUUCGCUAGUAAUCGCGCAUCAGCCAUGGCGCGGUGAAUACGUUCCCGGGCCUU
RNAcentral lists this ribosomal RNA (270 nucleotides) under uncultured Sphingobacteriales bacterium. Its description in RNAcentral is "partial 16S ribosomal RNA". It matches the Rfam family "Bacterial small subunit ribosomal RNA", at positions 1114 to 1382 of the family's 1533-position model. Lineage: Bacteria; Pseudomonadati; Bacteroidota; Sphingobacteriia; Sphingobacteriales. The record is from RNAcentral.